CAGUCGCCGCGGUAAAACGUAGGUGGCAAGCGUUGUCCGGAAUUAUUGGGCGUAAAGGGCUCGCAGGCGGUUUCUUAAGUCUGAUGUGAAAGCCCCCGGCUCAACCAGGGAGGGUCAUUGGAAACUGGGAAACUUGAGUGCAGAAGAGGAGAGUGGAAUUCCACGUGUAGCGGUGAAAUGCGUAGAGAUGUGGAGGAACACCAGUGGCGAAGGCGGCUUACUGGCUCAUACUGGACGCUGAGGUGCGAAAGCGUGGGGAGCAAACAGGAUUAGAUACCCCGGUAGUCCCUGUCUCUUAUAC
This 301-nucleotide ribosomal RNA is filed under the name uncultured bacterium. Its description in RNAcentral is "partial 16S ribosomal RNA". It matches the Rfam family "Bacterial small subunit ribosomal RNA", at positions 509 to 807 of the family's 1533-position model. The record is from RNAcentral.